Molecule: ribosomal RNA, 34 nt
Filed under: Papiliotrema flavescens
Lineage: Eukaryota; Fungi; Basidiomycota; Tremellomycetes; Tremellales; Rhynchogastremaceae
Description: partial 26S ribosomal RNA
Source: RNAcentral
UUUGACCUGAAAUCAGGUAGGGCUACCCGCUGAA